Molecule: non-coding RNA, 174 nt
Organism: Pelobates cultripes (western spadefoot toad)
Lineage: Eukaryota; Metazoa; Chordata; Amphibia; Anura; Pelobatidae
Source: the annotation of a GenBank genome assembly
CCUCGAUUUAAUCAGCUUUCCAAAUGAUUCAAUACUGUUGGAAACACUUUCCAGAUGAUUUAUCUACAAUAAGUCCCAUAGAUUUAAUAAAACAUAAUGGUAAUCAUGGAGAUAAAUUGUUUAGAAAGUUUUUCUAACAGUACUGAAUCACUUGGAAAGCUUAUUAAAUUGAGG